AGCAGCCGCGGUAAUUCCAGCUCCAAUAGCGUAUAUUAAAGUUGCUGCAGUUAAAAAGCUCGUAGUUGAAUUUCGGGACUAAUAUGUCGGUCGUGCCUCGGUACGUACUGGUUUAUUGGUUUCUCCUUUCUGAAGAACCAUGAUGUCAUUUAUUUGGUGUCGUGGGGAAUCAGGACUGUUACUUUGAAAAAAUUAGAGUGUUUAAAGCAGGCUCACGCUUGAAUACAUUAGCAUGGAAUAAUGAAAUAGGACGUUUGAUUCUAUUUUGUUGGUUUCUAGGAUCGACGUAAUGAUUAAUAGGGAUAGUUGGGGGCAUUAGUAUUCAAUUGUCAGAGGUGAAAUUCUUGGAUUUAUUGAAGACUAACUACUGCGAAAGCAUUUGCCAAGGAUGUUUUCAUUAAUCAAGAACGAAAGUUAGGGGAUCGAAGACGAUCAGAUACCGUCGUAGUCUUAACCAUAAAGCUAUGCCGACUAGGGGAUCGGAUGAUGUUAAUUUUUUAANGACUCAUUCGGCGCCUUA
Molecule: unclassified non-coding RNA, 520 nt
Filed under: uncultured Glomus
Lineage: Eukaryota; Fungi; Glomeromycota; Glomeromycetes; Glomerales; Glomeraceae
Description: SSU rRNA
Rfam family: Eukaryotic small subunit ribosomal RNA
Source: RNAcentral